RNAcentral lists this long non-coding RNA (242 nucleotides) under Trifolium pratense (red clover). Its description in RNAcentral is "long non-coding RNA (TPRA_LNC009455)". Lineage: Eukaryota; Viridiplantae; Streptophyta; Magnoliopsida; Fabales; Fabaceae. The record is from RNAcentral.
CCUGAUAUCAAGCGAAAAAGAAUUAGUGAAGACAUAGAUUUUAACAGAGAUUAGGAAAUCAAAACUUAAAGCUUGGGGAGGGAAAAGUGAUGUAGUCUAGAAUCUUAAAUGCUUCAUACUCGCGUUCGUGCUACAGAUACACAAAAACUACAACACUCUCCCAAAACAAAUACACACGUAAGCCAAAAAUUACCUGUUUUAUCCCAAGGCUGUAUGAAAAAGUAUGUAAACCUCUGCCUGCC